Molecule: ribosomal RNA, 159 nt
Filed under: uncultured Piloderma
Lineage: Eukaryota; Fungi; Basidiomycota; Agaricomycetes; Atheliales; Atheliaceae
Description: 5.8S ribosomal RNA
Rfam family: 5.8S ribosomal RNA
About the family: 5.8S ribosomal RNA (5.8S rRNA) is a component of the large subunit of the eukaryotic ribosome.
Source: RNAcentral
CAACUUUCAACAACGGAUCUCCUGGCUCUCGCAUCGAUGAAGAACGCAGCGAAAUGCGAUAAGUAAUGUGAAUUGCAGAUUUUCAGUGAAUCAUCGAAUCUUUGAACGCACCUUGCGCUCCUUGGUAUUCCGAGGAGCAUGCCUGUUUGAGUGUCAUUA